Molecule: transfer RNA, 77 nt
Filed under: Clostridia bacterium
Lineage: Bacteria; Bacillati; Bacillota; Clostridia
Description: tRNA-Met
Rfam family: tRNA
About the family: Transfer RNA (tRNA) molecules are approximately 80 nucleotides in length.
Source: RNAcentral
GGCGGUGUAGCUCAGUUGGCUAGAGCGCUCGGUUCAUACCCGAAAGGUCAGUGGUUCGAGCCCACUCACCGCUACCA